Molecule: long non-coding RNA, 272 nt
Filed under: Anas platyrhynchos platyrhynchos (common mallard)
Lineage: Eukaryota; Metazoa; Chordata; Aves; Anseriformes; Anatidae
Description: lncRNA (ENSAPLG00000019233.1)
Source: RNAcentral
UCUUGUGAAGAAGACUCCACCGUGCUGCUGAGGAGGCCUAACUGAGGCCUAACAGAGCAGCAGGACAAAGGACUAAAGAAAAAGAAAUGUGACCAUUCUGGUUGUGCAAAUGAGGACUUAGAAUUAGUUGUUCAGCUGAAGGUAAUUUCUUACAUGAUCUCUCAAAUCUUUACUGUUUAUAUUUCUGUUUAAGCACUGAAUAACCUUGAUAACAGAACGUGAAUAAUGCCUGAAAGGAAAAUAAAAGUUUGUCCAAUUAUUUCUUGCUUCCA